CUACGGGCUGCAGCAGUGGGGAAUAUUGGACAAUGGGGGAAACCCUGAUCCAGCAAUGCCGCGUGUGUGAAGAAGGCCUGCGGGUUGUAAAGCACUUUCGGUUGGGAGGACUGCUUCUAGCACUAAUAUUGUUGGAAGUUGACGUUACCUUCAGAAGAAGCACCGGCUAACUCCGUGCCAGCAGCCGCGGUAAUACGGAGGGUGCAAGCGUUAAUCGGAAUUACUGGGCGUAAAGCGCGCGUAGGCGGCUAGAUCAGUCGGGGGUGAAAGCCCCGGGCUUAACCUGGGAACUGCAUCCGAUACUGUCUAGCUUGAGUACAGGAGAGGAGAGUGGAAUUCCACAUGUAGCGGUGAAAUGCGUAGAUAUGUGGAGGAACACCAAUGGCGAAGGCAGCUCUCUGGCCUGAUACUGACGCUGAGGUGCGAAAGCGUGGGAAGCAAACAGGAUUAGAUACCCGUGUAGUC
RNAcentral lists this ribosomal RNA (465 nucleotides) under uncultured bacterium. RNAcentral's name for it is "partial 16S ribosomal RNA". It matches the Rfam family "Bacterial small subunit ribosomal RNA", at positions 339 to 795 of the family's 1533-position model. The record is from RNAcentral.